GAACGCUGGCGGCGUGCUUAACACAUGCAAGUCGAACGAUGAUGCCCACUUGUGGGUGGAUUAGUGGCGAACGGGUGAGUAACACGUGAGUAACCUGCCCUUAACUCUGGGAUAAGCCUGGGAAACUGGGUCUAAUACCGGAUAUGACUCCUCAUCGCAUGGUGGGGGGUGGAAAGCUUUUUGUGGUUUUGGAUGGACUCGCGGCCUAUCAGCUUGUUGGUGAGGUAAUGGCUCACCAAGGCGACGACGGGUAGCCGGCCUGAGAGGGUGACCGGCCACACUGGGACUGAGACACGGCCCAGACUCCUACGGGAGGCAGCAGUGGGGAAUAUUGCACAAUGGGCGAAAGCCUGAUGCAGCGACGCCGCGUGAGGGAUGACGGCCUUCGGGUUGUAAACCUCUUUCAGUAGGGAAGAAGCGAAAGUGACGGUNCCUGCAGAAGAAGCGCCGGCUAACUACGUGCCAGCAGCCGCGGUAAUACGUAGGGCGCAAGCGUUAUCCGGAAUUAUUGGGCGUAAAGAGCUCGUAGGCGGUUUGUCGCCGUCUGCCGUGAAAGUCCGGGGCUCAACUCCGGAUCUGCGGUGGGUACGGGCAGACUAG
RNAcentral lists this ribosomal RNA (600 nucleotides) under Arthrobacter sp. YIM 602. RNAcentral's name for it is "bacterial SSU rRNA". It matches the Rfam family "Bacterial small subunit ribosomal RNA", at positions 31 to 644 of the family's 1533-position model. The record is from RNAcentral. Lineage: Bacteria; Bacillati; Actinomycetota; Actinomycetes; Micrococcales; Micrococcaceae.